GAGGGUAUAACUCAGUGGUAGAGCGUGUGCUCAGCAUGCAUGAGGUCCUGGGUUCAAUCCCCAGUACCUUCA
RNAcentral lists this transfer RNA (72 nucleotides) under Camelus bactrianus (Bactrian camel). It matches the Rfam family "tRNA". From Rfam's summary of the family: Transfer RNA (tRNA) molecules are approximately 80 nucleotides in length. The record is from Rfam by way of RNAcentral. RNAcentral also lists the same sequence under 2 other names. Lineage: Eukaryota; Metazoa; Chordata; Mammalia; Artiodactyla; Camelidae.